GUCCCUGGUGGGAGUGACUCAGGGGAGGGGGUCACCACAAAGUCCCUGGUGUGGGUGAUCCAGGGAUGGGGGACAUGGCUUAGGGUCCCUAGUGGAGGGGGCUUGGGGGGGAAAGUGUCAUGAUUGAAGAUCCCUGCUGGAUGGGGUGACUUUGAGAUAUGGGGGAGAUAGGAAGAGCACAC
This is a long non-coding RNA of Neopelma chrysocephalum (saffron-crested tyrant-manakin), 182 nucleotides long. RefSeq lists it as uncharacterized. Lineage: Eukaryota; Metazoa; Chordata; Aves; Passeriformes; Pipridae. The transcript is spliced from 3 exons. The record is from RefSeq and is a predicted model, not a curated record.